AUUGAACGCUGGCGGCAUGCCUUACACUUGCAAGUCGAACGGUAACAGGUCUUCGGAUGCUGACGAGUGGCGAACGGGUGAGUAAUACAUCGGAACGUGCCCGAUCGUGGGGGAUAACGAAGCGAAAGCUUUGCUAAUACCGCAUAAGAUCUACGGAUGAAAGCAGGGGACCGCAAGGCCUUGCGCGAACGGAGCGGCCGAUGGCAGAUUAGGUAGUUGGUGGGAUAAAAGCUUACCAAGCCGACGAUCUGUAGCUGGUCUGAGAGGACGACCAGCCACACUGGGACUGAGACACGGCCCAGACUCCUACGGGAGGCAGCAGUGGGGAAUUUUGGACAAUGGGCGAAAGCCUGAUCCAGCCAUGCCGCGUGCAGGAUGAAGGCCUUCGGGUUGUAAACUGCUUUUGUACGGAACGAAAAGACUCUGGUUAAUACCUGGGGUCCAUGACGGUACCGUAAGAAUAAGCACCGGCUAACUACGUG
This 482-nucleotide ribosomal RNA is filed under the name uncultured bacterium. RNAcentral describes it as "partial 16S ribosomal RNA". It matches the Rfam family "Bacterial small subunit ribosomal RNA", at positions 30 to 507 of the family's 1533-position model. The record is from RNAcentral.